This 22-nucleotide microRNA is filed under the name Drosophila mojavensis. Its description in RNAcentral is "Dmo-Mir-955_3p* (star (passenger))". The record is from RNAcentral. Lineage: Eukaryota; Metazoa; Arthropoda; Insecta; Diptera; Drosophilidae.
CAUUCAGCCUUUGAACGGUAGA